RNAcentral lists this long non-coding RNA (425 nucleotides) under Olea europaea (common olive). RNAcentral's name for it is "long non-coding RNA (OEUR_LNC003689)". Lineage: Eukaryota; Viridiplantae; Streptophyta; Magnoliopsida; Lamiales; Oleaceae. The record is from RNAcentral.
GAAUCGCUAUAAUGACCACAGGUCAGAAUAUUGUGUUUUUUGCAAUACUGAUUUUAGGCUUAAUCUUCAUCUUUUGUCAUUAUUGUUUUUGUUUGAAAAAGUUGUAUGGCUUUCGACUUGUCUUUCUUAUAUAUAUAUAUAUAUAUAUAUAUCAGAAUAUCGUGCUUUUUGCAAUACUGAUUUUAGGCUUAAUCUUUCUCUUUCGUCGUUAUUGUUUUCGUUUGAAAAAGCUGUACGGCUUUCGACUUGUCUUUAUUAUAUAUAUAUCCAUUCUAUUGUGUUGCUCUUUCUUGUCCUAUUUUAUCCGCCUUUACUUACUUUCCCGCUUAGGCUUAGGUAUGAAUUUUGUUUAUCCUUUUUUGAUUUUGACUAUGGUGGAAGCACUUCCGGCUCCUUCCGACCCAUCAAGCUCAGCCAGGUGGACG